AUGUCAGAUGCUAUGAGUGCAAAAUUUGACAAGUACUGGUCUGAUAUCCAAGGCCUCAUGGGUAUUCCUACACUCCUUGAUCCACGGUUUAAGAUUGAUAUGCUGCAUUUGUGCUUUGAAAUGCUCCUUGGUGACGAGUCCAUUAUUGAUUGUGAGAGUAAAGUUCAUGAGAUCCGUGAGUUAGUGUCUAGCCUGAUGCUUGAAUAUAAAAUGGAGAGUGAGCAAGAGAAUACAGAAGCCCAGUCUGUGUCCAUUUCUGCAAUGGAAGCUAACGAGGUGAUGUCCAUCUUCAGUGCACGAGUAGCUAGAAAGAGGCCUGCAACCAGUUUAUCCAGAACAGAGUUAGACCGCUACUUGGAUGAUAAGUAUGUGCCAGCUAAUCAAGAGAAUUUUGAUGUGUUGGAUGGUGGAAUGUUGCUGGUUCACGCUACCCAACUUUGA
RNAcentral lists this ribosomal RNA (441 nucleotides) under Triticum aestivum (bread wheat). RNAcentral describes it as "partial small subunit ribosomal RNA". Lineage: Eukaryota; Viridiplantae; Streptophyta; Magnoliopsida; Poales; Poaceae. The record is from RNAcentral.